RNAcentral lists this transfer RNA (75 nucleotides) under Actinomycetes bacterium. RNAcentral describes it as "Actinobacteria bacterium (activated sludge metagenome) tRNA-Gln". It matches the Rfam family "tRNA". From Rfam's summary of the family: Transfer RNA (tRNA) molecules are approximately 80 nucleotides in length. Their secondary structure includes four short double-helical elements and three loops (D, anti-codon, and T loops). Lineage: Bacteria; Bacillati; Actinomycetota; Actinomycetes. The record is from RNAcentral. RNAcentral also lists the same sequence under 1 other name.
UCCCCGUUGGUGUAAUCGGCAACACAGCUGGUUUUGGUCCAGUCAUUCGAGGUUCGAGUCCUCGGCGGGGAGCCA